UACGUAGGGUGCGAGCGUUAAUCGGAAUUACUGGGCGUAAAGCGUGCGCAGGCGGAUUGUUAAGCAAGAUGUGAAAUCCCCGGGCUUAACCUGGGAAUGGCAUUUUGAACUGGCAAUCUAGAGUGUGUCAGAGGGGGGUAGAAUUCCACGUGUAGCGGUGAAAUGCUUAGAUAUCGUCAAGAACACCUAUAGCGAAGGCAGCUUACUAGGCUGUAACUGACGCUGAGGCACGAAAGUGUGGGGAUCAAACAGG
Molecule: ribosomal RNA, 253 nt
Filed under: uncultured bacterium
Lineage: Bacteria
Description: partial 16S ribosomal RNA
Rfam family: Bacterial small subunit ribosomal RNA
Source: RNAcentral